UACGAAGGGGGCUAGCGUUGUUCGGAAUUACUGGGCGUAAAGCGCGCGCAGGCGGUUUCUCAAGUCAGUGGUGAAAGCCCGGAGCUCAACUCCGGAACUGCCAUUGAAACUGUGAGACUUGAGGACGAGAGAGGUGAGUGGAAUUCCCAGUGUAGAGGUGAAAUUCGUAGAUAUUGGGAAGAACACCGGUGGCGAAGGCGGGUCUCUGGGCCGAUAUUGACGCUGAGGAGCGAAAGCGUGGGGAGCGAACAGG
This 253-nucleotide ribosomal RNA is filed under the name uncultured bacterium. Its description in RNAcentral is "partial 16S ribosomal RNA". It matches the Rfam family "Bacterial small subunit ribosomal RNA", at positions 524 to 776 of the family's 1533-position model. The record is from RNAcentral.